AGGAAUAUUGGUCAAUGGGCGGGAGCCUGAACCAGCCAAGUAGCGUGAAGGACGACGGCCCUACGGGUUGUAAACUUCUUUUAUAAGGGAAUAAAGUUCGCCACGUGUGGUGUUUUGUAUGUACCUUAUGAAUAAGCAUCGGCUAAUUCCGUGCCAGCAGCCGCGGUAAUACGGAAGAUGCGAGCGUUAUCCGGAUUUAUUGGGUUUAAAGGGUGCGUAGGCGGUUUGAUAAGUUAGAGGUGAAAUUUCGGGGCUCAACCCUGAACGUGCCUCUAAUACUGUUGAGCUAGAGAGUAGUUGCGGUAGGCGGAAUGUAUGGUGUAGCGGUGAAAUGCUUAGAGAUCAUACAGAACACCGAUUGCGAAGGCAGCUUACCAAACUAUAUCUGACGUUGAGGCACGAAAGCGUGGGGAGCAAACAGGAUUAGAUACCCUGGUAGUCCACGCAGUAAACGAUGAUAACUCGUUGUCGGCGAUACACAGUCGGUGACUAAGCGAAAGCGAUAAGUUAUCCACCUGGGGAGUACGUUCGCAAGAAUGAAACUCAAAGGAAUUGACGGGGGCCCGCACAAGCGGAGGAACAUGUGGUUUAAUUCGAUGAUACGCGAGGAACCUUACCCGGGCUUGAAAGUUAGCGACGAUUCUUGAAAGAGGAUUUCCCUUCGGGGCGCGAAACUAGGUGCUGCAUGGUUGUCGUCAGCUCGUGCCGUGAGGUGUCGGGUUAAGUCCCAUAACGAGCGCAACCCCUACCGUUAGUUGCCAUCAGGUCAAGCUGGGCACUCUGGCGGGACUGCCGGUGUAAGCCGAGAGGAAGGUGGGGAUGACGUCAAAUCAGCACGGCCCUUACGUCCGGGGCUACACACGUGUUACAAUGGUAGGUACAGAGGGCAGCUACCCAGCGAUGGGAUGCGAAUCUCGAAAGCCUAUCUCAGUUCGGAUUGGAGGCUGAAACCCGCCUCCAUGAAGUUGGAUUCGCUAGUAAUCGCGCAUCAGCCAUGGCGCGGUGAAUACGUUCCCG
RNAcentral lists this ribosomal RNA (1017 nucleotides) under uncultured bacterium. Its description in RNAcentral is "bacterial SSU rRNA". It matches the Rfam family "Bacterial small subunit ribosomal RNA", at positions 357 to 1376 of the family's 1533-position model. The record is from RNAcentral.